RNAcentral lists this small nuclear RNA (21 nucleotides) under Arabidopsis thaliana (thale cress). RNAcentral's name for it is "snRNA_18774". The record is from RNAcentral. Lineage: Eukaryota; Viridiplantae; Streptophyta; Magnoliopsida; Brassicales; Brassicaceae.
UAUAUCCUUAGUAAUUGAAUC